Molecule: long non-coding RNA, 503 nt
Filed under: Pan troglodytes (chimpanzee)
Lineage: Eukaryota; Metazoa; Chordata; Mammalia; Primates; Hominidae
Description: lincRNA
Source: RNAcentral
UUUUGAGAUGGAGUUUCGCUCUGUCACCGAGGCUGGAGUGCAGUGGCACAAUCUCGGCUGGGUGACAGUGAGACUCUGUUUCAAAAAAAAACAAACACACACACACACACAAAUACUUCACUGUUAAUACAAAUAAUCUAGUCAAGUAAACCGUACUCCAUUUUGGAUAAAAACAGAGAAGAACUCCUCCAUGUGGUUGUUGGAAGGGUCUUUAAAGGAAUCAAAUAUUCUCACAUUUUUCUCUUUAAAAGCACUUUUAACAAAUCUUCAAAUCAAUAAAAUAUACAAUGGCUUAACUGGGCAAGAUCUAAUGCCCCAAGAUCUCAUGAGGCACUCAACUAGGGCUUCCCAGACAGUGAGAAGCACAGAGCCUGGAAGGGCUCACAGGUAAGCUAAGCUACGGUUGGAAGGUGGAGGUAGGCAGCUCAGACAGCUGGCUCCACGAACCUCCACCCCAUUACCUCGUGCACUGUAAACUUUUCUGCUGUUUUUUACCUGUGCCA